AUGAAGUGCAUACUGUGCAACCCCAGCUUGCUCUUUCGACUCCUACUGCAUCAGCCGGCCGGCAACAAACAUCCAUCCAUGUCCUACUCUCUCACAAGCAGGCAGCAAGAUAUUCAGAUACCUACAACACUGGGCUAUAACAAAGCUCCAGGCCCUGAUGGUUUCCCCGCAGAAUUCUAUCAGAAUUUCUGGGAUAUCAUCAAGUCUGACCUUUUGGAGUUAUUCAAUUGUUUUCAUGCCGACCGACUUGACCUAUUCAGACUUAAUUUUGGCGAGAUUGUCUUGUCGCCGAAGAUUAAGGAGGCCGAAGGAUUCAACAGUUCAGACCCAUAUGCCUCCUUAAUGUCAGCUUCAAGAUUUUCACCAAAGUGGCGACGAAUAGAUUAA
RNAcentral lists this ribosomal RNA (387 nucleotides) under Triticum aestivum (bread wheat). Its description in RNAcentral is "partial small subunit ribosomal RNA". Lineage: Eukaryota; Viridiplantae; Streptophyta; Magnoliopsida; Poales; Poaceae. The record is from RNAcentral.